CUUUUAAAGGAUAUUAGAUAAUCCAUUGAUCUUAGGAGUCAAAAACUCUUGGUGCAACUCCAAGUAAAAGU
Molecule: transfer RNA, 71 nt
Filed under: Siren intermedia (lesser siren)
Lineage: Eukaryota; Metazoa; Chordata; Amphibia; Caudata; Sirenidae
Description: tRNA-Leu
Source: RNAcentral